Molecule: small RNA, 2944 nt
Filed under: Pan troglodytes (chimpanzee)
Lineage: Eukaryota; Metazoa; Chordata; Mammalia; Primates; Hominidae
Description: retained intron
Source: RNAcentral
CCAGGGGCCCAGAGCUGCUCUGAUCACCCAGGGAUUCUCUCUCCAACCCAAGUGCCUCCAGCUGACCUCUGGCUCCUGUCCUCUGGCCCCACCUGCACCACCCUGCUCUUCCUAAGGGGCCAGGAAGCCCCCAGAAGCUCUACCAUCGACGUGGGCGGUGGCACCCGGCUCACCCUGAGAGCAGAGGCCGUGCAGGGGGCUCGGUUCUGAGCCCCAGCCGGCCCACCAUGGCACGGCGGUUCCAGGAGGAGCUGGCCGCCUUCCUCUUCGAGUAUGACACCCCCCGCAUGGUGCUGGUGCGUAACAAGAAGGUGGGCGUUAUCUUCCGACUGAUCCAGCUGGUGGUCCUGGUCUACGUCAUCGGGUGGGUGUUUCUCUACGAGAAGGGCUACCAGACCUCGAGCGGCCUCAUCAGCAGUGUCUCUGUGAAACUCAAGGGCCUGGCCGUGACCCAGCUCCCUGGCCUCGGCCCCCAGGUCUGGGACGUGGCUGACUACGUCUUCCCAGCCCAGGGGGACAACUCCUUCGUGGUCAUGACCAAUUUCAUCGUGACCCCGAAGCAGACUCAAGGCUACUGCGCAGAGCACCCAGAAGGGGGCAUAUGCAAGGAAGACAGUGGCUGUACCCCUGGGAAGGCCAAGAGGAAGGCCCAAGGCAUCCGCACGGGCAAGUGUGUGGCCUUCAACGACACUGUGAAGACGUGUGAGAUCUUUGGCUGGUGCCCCGUGGAGGUGGAUGACGACAUCCCGCGGUAACACUCUGACCUUCCAGGGAGCUAAGAACAGGGUCCCAGGCCAGACGGAGGGGGGCCUGGGUCUAGAAGAGAUCUUUACCCCUUUUUCUGACCCCGCCCUCACCCCAUCCGCGCAGCCCAGGCUGAAGAUUCCCCUGGGUCCCGGCCACGCUACACACCCACCCCUCCGCCGGCCCAGGGCUGCAGGCAGGUCCCGGAGGCUCGGCCCACCCCCUGCUAUGCCAAGCUCUGUGUGGGACACACAGGGGGCCUCCUGGGGAGGGGCGGUGAGUGCGUGUGGUGUCCUCCAGCCCUGCCCUUCUCCGAGAGGCCGAGAACUUCACUCUUUUCAUCAAGAACAGCAUCAGCUUUCCACGCUUCAAGGUCAACAGGCGCAACCUGGUGGAGGAGGUGAAUGCUGCCUACAUGAAGACCUGCCUCUUUCACAAGACCCUGCACCCCCUGUGCCCAGUCUUCCAGCUUGGCUACGUGGUGCAAGAGUCAGGCCAGAACUUCAGCACCCUGGCUGAGAAGGGUGGAGUGGUUGGCAUCACCAUCGACUGGCACUGUGACCUGGACUGGCAUGUACGGCACUGCAGACCCAUCUAUGAGUUCCAUGGGCUGUACGAAGAGAAAAAUCUCUCCCCAGGCUUCAACUUCAGGUUUGCCAGGCACUUUGUGGAGAACGGGACCAACUACCGUCACCUCUUCAAGGUGUUUGGGAUUCGCUUUGACAUCCUGGUGGACGGCAAGGCCGGGAAGUUUGACAUCAUCCCUACAAUGACCACCAUCGGCUCUGGAAUUGGCAUCUUUGGGGUGGCCACAGUUCUCUGUGACCUGCUGCUGCUUCACAUCCUGCCUAAGAGGCACUACUACAAGCAGAAGAAGUUCAAGUACGCUGAGGACAUGGGGCCAGGGGCGGCUGAGCGUGACCUCGCAGCUACCAGCUCCACCCUGGGCCUGCAGGAGAACAUGAGGACAUCCUGAUGCUCGGGCCCCAACUCCUUACUGGGUGCAGCGUGAGGCUUCAGCCUGGAGCCCUGGUGGGUCCCAGCCAGGGCAGAGGGGCCUCCCCAGGAAGUCUCCUACCCUCUCAGCCAGGCAGAGAGCAGUUUGCCAGAAGCUCAGGGUGCAUAGUAGGAGAGACCUGUGCAAAUCUGAGCUCUGGCUCCGACCCCACACACCCUGAGGGAGCCCUACCCUAGCCUCAGCCGCUCCUGGUGGGGAAUGGCUGGGGCUGGGCAGGACCCUCCCACACACCUGCACCCUAGCUUUGUGCUUCUCUCUCCGGACUCUCAUUAUCCAACCCGCUGCCUCCAUUUCUCUAGAUCUGUGCUCUCCAAUGUGGCAGUCAGUAACCAUAGGUGACUAAAUUAAACUAAAAUAAAAUAGAAUGAAACACAAAAUUCAAUUCCUCAGCUGAACUAGCCACAUUUCAACUGCUCAGUAGAUACGUGUGGUUAGUGGCUGCCAUACUGGACAGCUCGGGGCAUUUUCACUGUCAAAGAAAGUUCUAUUAGACAGCCCUGCUUGAGCCCUGUUUCUUCCUGGCCUUCGGUUUCCCUGGGGAACUUAUCGACAAUGCAAGCUCCUGGGCCCACCCCCAGACCUCCUGAACCAAAAGCUCCAGGGCUGGCCGUAUGAUCUGUGUGGAUGGCAAACUCCCCAGGCCAUUCUGGGACCUAAGUUUAAGAAGUGCUGUCCUCGAACUUUCUGACUCUAAGCUCCUGAGCGGGAGUCAGACUUAGCCCUGAGCCUGCACUUCCUGUUCAGGUGUAGACACUGAACAGGGUCUCAAACACCUUCAGCAUGUGUGUUGUGUGCUCACAUGCCACACAGUGUCUCAUGCACACAACCCAGUGUACACACCACCUACGUGCACACAGCAUCCUUCCACACUGUGUAUGUGAACAGCUUGGGCCCUGCAAACACAACCAUCUACACACAUCUACACCUCCAAGCACACACACACAUGGUCUGUGCCAUGUCACCUCCAUAGGGAAAGGCUUCUCUCCAAGUGUGCCAGGCCAGGACAGCCCUCCCAGCCAUGAAUCCUUACUCAGCUACCUCGGGUUGGGGUGGGAGCCCCAGCCAAAUCCUGGGCUCCCUGCCUGUGGCUCAGCCCCAGCUCCCAAGGCCUGCCUGGCUCUGUCUGAACAGAAGGUCUGGGGGAAGCGAGGGGUGGAGUACAAUAAAGGGAAUGAGGACAAA